UACGUAGGUCCCGAGCGUUGUCCGGAUUUAUUGGGCGUAAAGAGAGCGUAGGCGGUUGUUUAAGUUAAAUGUGAAAGCCUUGGGCUCAACCCAAGAACUGCAUUUAAUACUGGACAACUCGAGUAUUGGAGAGGUAGGUGGAAUUCAUAGUGUAGCGGUAAAAUGCGUAGAUAUUAUGAGGAACAUCAGAGGCGAAGGCGGCCUACUGGACAAUAACUGACGCUGAGGCUCGAAAGCGUGGGGAUCAAACAGG
RNAcentral lists this ribosomal RNA (253 nucleotides) under uncultured bacterium. Its description in RNAcentral is "partial 16S ribosomal RNA". It matches the Rfam family "Bacterial small subunit ribosomal RNA", at positions 524 to 776 of the family's 1533-position model. The record is from RNAcentral.